RNAcentral lists this ribosomal RNA (253 nucleotides) under uncultured bacterium. RNAcentral describes it as "partial 16S ribosomal RNA". It matches the Rfam family "Bacterial small subunit ribosomal RNA", at positions 524 to 776 of the family's 1533-position model. The record is from RNAcentral.
UACAGAGGUCUCAACCGUUGUUCGGAUUCAUUGGGCGUAAAGGGUGCGUAGGCGGUCGUGCAAGUCGGAUGUGAAAUCUCCGGGCUUAACCCGGAACGGUCAGAUGAUACUGCUUUGCUAGAGUGCAGAAGGGGCAAUCGGAAUUCUCGGUGUAGCGGUGAAAUGCGUAGAUAUCGAGAGGAACACCUGAGGUGAAGACGGGUUGCUGGGCUGACACUGACGCUGAAGCGCGAAAGCCAGGGGAGCAAACGGG